AUUGAACGCUGGCGGCAGGCUUAACACAUGCAAGUCGAGCGGGGUGAUGGUGCUUGCACUAUCACUUAGCGGCGGACGGGUGAGUAAUGCUUAGGAAUCUGCCUAUUAGUGGGGGACAACAUCUCGAAAGGGAUGCUAAUACCGCAUACGUCCUACGGGAGAAAGCAGGGGAUCACUUGUGACCUUGUGCUAAUAGAUGAGCCUAAGUCGGAUUAGCUAGUUGGUGGGGUAAAGGCCUACCAAGGCGACGAUCUGUAGCGGGUCGGAGAGGAUGCGCCUGCGCACUGGGACAGAGACACGGCCCAGACUCCUACGGGAGGCAGCAGUGGGGAAUAUUGGACAAUGGGGGGAACCCUGAUCCAGCCAUGCCGCGUGUGUGAAGAAGGCCUUAUGGUUGUAAAGCACUUUAAGCGAGGAGGAGGCUCUUUUGGUUAAUACCCAAGAUGAGUGGACGUUACUCGCAGAAUAAGCACCGGCUAACUCUGUGCCAGCCGCCGCAGUAA
This 503-nucleotide ribosomal RNA is filed under the name uncultured bacterium. Its description in RNAcentral is "partial 16S ribosomal RNA". It matches the Rfam family "Bacterial small subunit ribosomal RNA", at positions 30 to 523 of the family's 1533-position model. The record is from RNAcentral.